Molecule: ribosomal RNA, 678 nt
Filed under: Athelia abscondita
Lineage: Eukaryota; Fungi; Basidiomycota; Agaricomycetes; Atheliales; Atheliaceae
Description: partial large subunit ribosomal RNA
Rfam family: Eukaryotic large subunit ribosomal RNA
Source: RNAcentral
AGCGGGAAAAGCUCAAAUUUAAAAUCUGGCGUCCUCCGGGCGUCCGAGUUGUAAUCUGGAGAAGCGUUUUCCGCGUCGGACCGUGUACAAGUCUUCUGGAACGGAGCGUCAUAGAGGGUGAGAAUCCCGUCUCUGACACGGACUACCGAUGCUUUUGUGAUGCGCUCUCGAAGAGUCGAGUUGUUUGGGAAUGCAGCUCAAAAUGGGUGGUAAAUUCCAUCUAAAGCUAAAUAUUGGCCAGAGACCGAUAGCGAACAAGUACCGUGAGGGAAAGAUGAAAAGCACUUUGGAAAGAGAGUUAAACAGUACGUGAAAUUGUUGAAAGGGAAACGCUUGAAGUCAGUCGCGUUGGCCGAGACUCAGCCUGGCUUGCCUGGUGUACUUCUCGGUUGACGGGUCAGCAUCAGUUUUGACCGUCGGAUAAAGGUUGGAGGAAUGUGGCAUCCCUCGGGAUGUGUUAUAGCCUCUGAUUCGCAUACGGCGAUUGGGACUGAGGAACUCAGCACGCCUUUAUGGUCGGGGUUCGCCCACGUAACGUGCUUAGGAUGCUGGCAUAAUGGCUUUAAGCGACCCGUCUUGAAACACGGACCAAGGAGUCUAACAUGCCCGCGAGUGUUUGGGUGUUAAACCCGAGCGCGUAAUGAAAGUGAAAGUUGAGAUCCCUGUCGUGGGAGCAUC